GAUGAAGAACGCAGCGAAAUGCGAUACUUGGUGUGAAUUGCAGAAUCCCGUGAACCAUCGAGUCUUUGAACGCAAGUUGCGCCCGAAGCCUCGGCUAAGGGCACGUCUGCCUGGGCGUCACGCAUCGCGUCUCCCCCAAACCGCCAAGGCGGAGGGGAAGGAAGAUGGCUUCCCGUGCCUCACCCGGCGCGGUUGGCCUAAAUUUGGAGCCCGCGGCACUUAGCUCUCGCGGCGAUAGGUGGUGAACAAGGCCUUGGCCGUGCAAACAACCCGCUGCGAAGCUCUAUGUCACGUGCGCUCGUCGGACCCUUUGAAGUUGCCUUCGGUGACUUAGAACCUUUGCGACCCCAGGUCAGGCGGGGCUACCCGCUGAAUUUAAGCAUAUCAAUAAGCGGAGGA
RNAcentral lists this unclassified non-coding RNA (399 nucleotides) under soil metagenome. RNAcentral's name for it is "partial contains 5.8S ribosomal RNA, internal transcribed spacer 2, and large subunit ribosomal RNA". The stretch from base 1 to 120 matches the Rfam family "5.8S ribosomal RNA", at positions 35 to 154 of the family's 154-position model. The record is from RNAcentral.